This is a long non-coding RNA of Choloepus didactylus (southern two-toed sloth), 237 nucleotides long. RefSeq lists it as uncharacterized. The record is from RefSeq and is a predicted model, not a curated record. Lineage: Eukaryota; Metazoa; Chordata; Mammalia; Pilosa; Megalonychidae. The transcript is spliced from 3 exons.
UUAAGCAACUUGCUUGAUGUGACACGAUCAGGUCUCCUGAACCCAGAGCACUUCCUUGCACUUUGCUGCACUAAGAUUCCUCUCGGAGAAUGCAGUAUCCAGACACAUCCCUUCUUUUGUUCCAGCAUCCAGCCCACCCUGCCUGACUUAGACAAAUCCUGACUCAUUUCUCAUGGUGGCACCAUUUCUCUUGCCAGUGAUUGGUUCACGGGAUCAGCUCCCCAGUAAACAAGCCAG